Molecule: ribosomal RNA, 253 nt
Filed under: uncultured bacterium
Lineage: Bacteria
Description: partial 16S ribosomal RNA
Rfam family: Bacterial small subunit ribosomal RNA
Source: RNAcentral
CACGUAGGGCGCGAGCGUUGUCCGGAAUUAUUGGGCGUAAAGAGCUCGUAGGCGGCCUGUUGCGUCCGCUGUGAAAGCCCGGGGCUUAACCCCGGGUCGGCAGUGGAUACGGGCAGGCUAGAGGUAGGUAGGGGAGAAUGGAAUUCCCGGUGUAGCGGUGAAAUGCGCAGAUAUCCGGAAGAACACCGGUGGCGAAGGCGGUGAGCUGGGCAGUUGCUGACACUGAGGCGCGACAGCGUGGGGAGCAAACAGG